Molecule: RNA transcript, 1533 nt
Organism: Lycium barbarum (goji berry)
Lineage: Eukaryota; Viridiplantae; Streptophyta; Magnoliopsida; Solanales; Solanaceae
Exons: 5
Source: RefSeq, a predicted model, not a curated record
CACAGUGUCUACCUUUUUAAUGUUUGUGGAAAUCUGACUUCCACUUCAGUUCCAUCUCCAAUUCACCUUUUUCAUUCUUCAGUGUUGGUUUCCCAUUGCACUGCUUCUCUCUGACUCACUCACAUCUUCUUAUCUUUUUUUGCUUACUAUAUUUUCUUUGUAAAAAGUUGAUGCAAUGAUAGAGUUGGUCCGCGCUUGUGAAUCACUCCGUCUUUGUCCUUUUUGGGUUGUAGCAGGAAAAUUUCUAGGAGCACUGAGGACUCUAUCAGAAGAAAGUCAAUUUAUCUUAGCUUGAUGGCUCUGGGGCCACAAUUCAAGAUUUGGUUCAUCAUGCUGUCUAUUGUUGUCUUCCACACGCUAAAGAUGCAAGGUGUAAUUAUUUAUACUUGUUAUUUAUACUCUUUUUUUUUUUUCAACAAUGAAAUCUUUGGUAUUGUUGGUUGUUCAUUUAUUGCAUACAUCAAUUGCAUUUACUUCGAGAAGAAAGGAAUUACAAAAAUGAGAUGCUGGGAAGGAGCAGAGGAGGAUUCGUAUUCCAAAAAUAUAACCAUUUUCCGGAGGGAUUGCUAAUCGUUGUAUUGCAGGUAACAGGAUGCUGUGUUGAUUGGAAUGCUAACAGUUCCGGAGACGAUUUACUAUUCAGCUUAAUUGCGUCUCCCCUACAAGAUGCCAUUAUCAGAGAAACGGACACUGGUUGAUAGCACAAUUGUUUAAAUGGCACAAGAUUGUGCUGAUACGUUUGUUGGGGAUUGACACGUACGUGGUAUUACUUGGGAGGAAAGAAGAGGGUUAGUAUUGCACUUGAGAUUCUAAUGAGGCCUACAAUACUCUUUCUUGAUGAACCAACAAGUGGACUAGAUUUGGGCCGAGGAUAUUCAAGAAAGGAUCUUGGUAUGAGCUACAUGAAGGAAAAAAGACAGAAAGUGAAUAGGGGUUUGGAAAGGUUGCAUGAGAGAGUAAACAACAAGACAAAGUGGAAGAGAAGUACAUUCUUCUUUAUUUUGAAUACAAGCUUAUCAGAAGAGUUCCCAAUCUCCGUUUUAUAUGUGGUUUGUGAAUAUAAUUUGGCAAUCAUUUAGAAAAAGCAGGGGAAAAGAGUAUUAAGUUCACUUUCCUCUAUCAGCUAGACUUUGAGUCUAUUUGUGCAAAUGUCACUUUGAGCCAUUGAAGGGUAGCAUGGAAACAAUGUGAUGGUAUAUAAGGACACUCAGAUGCCAAAGAGUAGGUAUUGAUUUGGAUGCUCCAGAUGUGAAGUGGAAGCGAGAUUUUUUUUUAAAAAAUUCUACGUGUGUCAACAGUUUCCCAAUAUAAGUUGUGUUACAAAUUGGCAUCUUGUACGUUGUCAUAAUGUUUUUUUCCCAUAUCGGCUUUAAAACCUUAUAGUUUAUUGUUGGAGGUUACUCCCUACAGGAGAAAUAGUAUUUGUUUUCAUCGUCAAGAGGUUUCCAUCACGUGUUUGACAUUUCAAGCGGAAUAUUGUUUAGAUGGAUGUAAAAUGGACUUGCAUUAACAUUGAAAGAUAUAUUUGGUUUC